This 305-nucleotide ribosomal RNA is filed under the name uncultured bacterium. RNAcentral's name for it is "bacterial SSU rRNA". It matches the Rfam family "Bacterial small subunit ribosomal RNA", at positions 336 to 657 of the family's 1533-position model. The record is from RNAcentral.
CGCUUACGGGAGGCAGCAGUGGGGAAUAUUGCGCAAUGGGGGAAACCCUGACGCAGCAACGCCGCGUGAGUGAAGAAGGCCUUCGGGUUGUAAAGCUCUUUAAUCAGGGACGAAGAAUGACGGUACCUGAAGAAUAAGCUCCGGCUAACUACGUGCCAGCAGCCGCGGUAAUACGUAGGGAGCAAGCGUUAUCCGGAUUUAUUGGGUGUAAAGGGUGCGUAGACGGGAAGGCAAGUUGGUUGUGAAAUCCCUCGGCUUAACUGAGGAACUGCAACCAAAACUAUCUUUCUUGAGUGCUGGAGAGG